Molecule: non-coding RNA, 10276 nt
Organism: Dermacentor albipictus
Lineage: Eukaryota; Metazoa; Arthropoda; Arachnida; Ixodida; Ixodidae
Source: RefSeq, a predicted model, not a curated record
CCGCCACGGCGCGCCGCGCUCGCUUGUUGCUGUUCGGCACGUGCGCGCUGAUGCCGCUACGCCGCUCUGCCGACGCCGCGCCAGCGCCGACUGCGUGCCGCGCGCGACGGCGUGUUCGCUGGGCCGCCACCACGCACUGGUGCGGAUCACCGGCCGUCGCCGCCGCUAAAUGCCGCCGGGAUCGUGAAACAGAAUUAAAAAUACAAAGUGACAGGAAGAGAGAGAGAGAGGACGUCGUGCAAAAAGGGAUUUGGCAAGUGAGAAGCGAGGGGAAAGAGGAAAGAGACACAGGGAAAGGCGCGGGUGUCAGUCGGACUGCGCCUGGGCAGCCGCACGAAACCGACGGUGACCGUGUGCAGAAUUCGUGUGCUGUGGACGCAGGCAAGUCGACAUCUUCGUCGCCGUCGUCGUCUGCUUGUCGGAGCACAUCGCUGGACGUCCUGCGUACCGCUCGGUUCGACAUGACGGUGCAUUUUCAUCGUGUGAUUCUGUGUUUUGUGAAGCUUCUUCGCCGCGGAAAUGAAGGAGGGACUACUUCAAUGUGAGUGCUUGUCCGACUGCGGGUUCGCUGAAAUGCGAAACUUAGCGCCAUGCGCGUUCGACGCGCGCUGGUGAGGGAGGUUGGAACAGCACGUGCCCUCCUGGAGUCCGAACAGGUUGCGGCGGCGGUUUUGCUUCCCCAGUGGUCGUGCGUUUGACGCAUUGGUAGGAAGAAGGUACUGUGUGGUAUUGCGGUGUGACAAAGGUGGUGCGCAGCUCCGGUUGAGUGUGCUCGUUGGCGCCGUCUGGAUAAGGUGAACCGGAGUGAUUCACUGGAAAAACCACGAAGGUCGCGACGACGCUCUGAAAUGGAGUCUGCUGGUGGCCGCCACGUCACAGCUGGCAAGUGCUGUCGGGGUUGCAUCGCGUCACGCAUACGAGUCGAUGCCGGAUCGAAGCUAAGCAAUAUCGCGGGUGCCUGUGGAUUACUUGUCGAAGAGCAGCUCGAGGAAUUUCUGGAAGGCGUGCUUUGCGUGGACUUGGAACUCAGAUCUGCACGGCUGGGGUCGGCACGGUGUGACCUCGCCCACUGUGACAGCAGCCACUGAACGGAGCUUCAGGAGGGAUUUCAAGGACUGCCUGUCGGAAGCGCAACAACAUUGGAUAUACGCACAUACUCGAAGCACUGAUGUGUUCGUUACUUCAUUCUUGGUCCGGGCAUGUAGUGGGACCUUCGCCGUUCUGGAACAGCGCCUGCAGCCCUGCGGUCCAUGUGCCCGCUCACUUCGAGUCCUCAACGUACGUUGGAACUCUUCAGACUGGUCCAAAAGGAGAUUUCCAUUUGCGGUGCUACAACUCCGUGGGCAACAGGAGCGCGCAGCCACUUUCGAGAGGAGAGCUGCCCUCGCCGCCGACUCGGACCGUGCGUCGAGUGAACGUUGCGUUUCUGUGUGCACCUGAAGUGAGGUAGUAGGUUGUAUAGUUCAGAACUACAUCUGCCAAGGAGAGCUAACUGUACAACUUGCUAACUUUCUUCGGGUCAUACAAUGUUCGUCGAGACUGCCUUCACGUUUGAAGACGCGCCUGCCGCCCCGGGCUAAGAAGUUCCUCGCACUUUCUUCUUCUAUAACGUAACGUUCUUACGGUGUCUUCGCUGAUCGUUGUGUCUACAGCCGAGGUAAGUGCAAUUUGCCAGCAUUGUUUUGGCGUUGCCAGUCUCGCGGAGUCCUUUCGGAGUCUGUUCUAACCGAUGUGCGAUUGUCUUUAUGCGCUGCAGCUUAGAAUUUACGACGAGGCCCAUUUGGAAAUUAUUUCUAGUUUGCUCCUAUGAAAUGAAAGUGUGUGGGUAUAGGUUCCUCACACCCUUGUCAGAGUGAUCUUGAUUUUUAUUCGGGAAACGUCAUAGGCGCUUGUUCUGCGGUAAAAGACGUGGCUCAUUUUUAGUACAGAAAAUGGUAACUGAUAGCUUUAUUUCCCUGCCCUUUCUGAAUUCGUCUCGUACCAUAACCGUGGCAGCGAUGAAGUCGGGUGACUUCACAUAUUUCGGGGUCUUUUCGCCGAUUUAAGUGGUCUUUACGUUGCAGAAGUUCUCUAGUUACUUGUUUUCGAAUACUGCGAUACUCAUUCACUUGGCGAACAAUUAAGUGGCCUCAGCUGUGACGCCAGAGGUAUCUUUCGCGGCACUGCGUGUGUAAUCUGCCAGAUAAUGACGUUGUCACUCGGAAGAGUUUUGAGCUUCAUUGAAGUCGAUAUGCGCGUUACAACUCGAGCGCGUUCGAAUCGGGAAGGCUGCCCUCGCGUCGCGUAUAGCUUCUUUGGUGUAGCCUGGCGGGAACCUGGUAACCGAUACCUCAGUCACAUGAACAGUAUCGGCAUCCAUUGAAGCCGAUCUGCAUUGAAUAUUUCGAGCAUGAUUGACCCAAUAACUGAGCGUUUCUAAGUGUAACUGCAUAGAAGCAUAGUAUAACUUGUCUGUGACAUUAGUCUACAUUUACUCAAGCUCGCUCUUAAAGGCCCGUAUGACAGCACUAUAAGUUCAUGUAUUUGUGCAGUGUCCGCUUAAUAAAAGCCAGGCAGGCAAAAUACACCGCGUCUCCCUGCUCACGUUAGCCAAGCUGUUUAACGAAGCAAAUGAUUUUAAAAAGAAGGUGCAAGAUGCAAUUAAAUGCAAUUAAAUACGAUAUUCUUAGAAUAUCGUAUUUAUAUCGAUUUAUAUCGUAAAACUAAAGUAAUGCUUAACAGUCUCGGAAGAGAACAGCAAUUUACAAUAGGCAGCGAGGCACUGGAAGUCGUAAGGGAAUACAUCUACUUAGGGCAGGUAGUGACGGCGGAUCCGGAUCAUGAGACGGAAAUAAUCAGAAGAAUAAGAAUGGGCUGGGGUGCGUUUGGCAGGCAUUCUCAGAUCAUGAACAGCAGGUUGCCAUUAUCCCUCAAGAGAAAAGUAUAUAUUAGCUGUACCAGUACAGCUGUCUUACCAGUACUCACCUACGGGGCAGAAACCUGGAGGCUUACGAAAAGGGUUCUACUCAAAUUGAGGACGGCGCAACGAGCUAUGGAAAGAAGAAAGAUCGGUUUAACGUUAAGGGAUAAGAAAACAGCAGAUUGGGUGAGGGAACAAACGCGAGUUAAUGACAUCUUAGUUGAAAUCAAGAAAAAGAAAUGGGCAUGGGCAGGACAUGUAAUGAGGAGGGAAGAUAACCGAUGGUCAUUAAGGGUUACGGAAUGGAUUCCAAGGGAAGGGAAGCGUAGCAAAGGGCGGCAGAAAGUUAGGUGGGCGGAUGAGAUUAAGAAGUUUGCAGGCACGGCAUGGCCACAAUUAGUACAUGACCGGGGUUGUUGGAGAAGUAUGGGAGAGGCCUUUGCCCUGCAGUGGGCGUAACCAGGCUGAUGAUGAUGAUGAUGAUGAUGAUGAUGAUGAUGAUUUUGCACCGGCUUUCUUUGUGUGCGCGUGUGUGUGUUUGUGUGUGUGUGGGUGUGGGUGUGGGUGUGGGUGUGUGUGUGUUAACAGCUAGAUUAACGUUAGUUGGGGCACCCUAUAUACAGGUUGUUUCAACGCACACUUUCAAAAAUUCUUAAAAAUUGUCUGUGGCGGAUAGCUCAAUCUUGGUCCAUGAGCUGGUAUACUCGAAGAGGCGAGUUGCUUGCACAAAAAAUUGAAAUGCAUAAUCGACUGAAUAACAAAAAUCACUAACGAAGCUUUCAAGUAAUUGUCAUGUGCCACAUAUUGCAACUCACAGAAUUCUAGCGGUUGAGACUGCAAGGCAUAUUCAAUUGAAAAUUAUUGUGUGGAUGAUACCAUUUACGAGAUGUGCACCGUCAGAGUUUCGGCAAAAAUGCGCUGUCGUUUCACUUACUUUCCUAACAAAGCGUUAUUUUAGGCAUUGAAGCGCAAAGUUCGCGAAUUAAUAUCCCGAAACUGGUGUUUUCCUGAGAAUUGGUUCCAGGUACGAUGAUCCGCCUUGCGAACUCCCCAGCUGGAAUUUGUAACUUGCAAUACGUGCCAUAAUGUCAUUAGUUAAGACUUAAUUAGUGAAUGUUUGUUAGUUAGUCGAUUAUGCAUGACAGUUUUUGUGCAAGGAAUAUUCGAGUCUUCGAGUACAGCAGCUCAUGGACUAAAACUGUACUAUCUACCACAGGCGAUGAAAAAAAAGUGUUUGCUGAAAUACCCGGUAUUUAAAAUAUGAUGUUAUGAUCAAGGUCAAUCAACCCUAAGCUUGCCUGGGCGUGACUUCGCGGGGGCGGCUUUAUGCCGAAAAUAUCUGACGAAGUGACGAAGAGCCCCGUUCUCUCCUGUAUACCUGUAUACCUCUCGCUGCUACCCCCCCCCCCCCUCCUGAGGCCGCAUUAACCGGGCCGGACUUUAAUUAAUGAUGCUCGCUCGCGUCGGUUAACGGAAACUGGCCACGGAACACAAAGCGCCGACCUUCCUUUCUCUCUCUCUCUCUCCUUUGGUCACCGUAUGUGCGCGAGUGAGGCCAGCGUCCGAUAAGGUCUCAACAAACGGACGGGCGGCCGCGCUGUUGCACGCACAGCACACGGAGUCCGGCGGCGGCGGUCGUUCUCCCAUCUGGCGGGCAGCGCGUGCUCCCUUGCUCUCUCUCUCUCUCUCACGCGCGCGCGCGCUUUCUUUCGCCUCUCCCUAUCAAUUUCAUAUAAAAAAAGCGCGCACGGAAUCACUUCUAUAAAAAGAACGCGUAAGGUAAAGGCACCUCUCCGCCGCGUUCCAUCUGCCGCCGCCGGCCGCGCCUACGGUCAAGGCGAAGGACUAUCGACGCGCUUCCGUUCGCGCUCGACAAACUCCCUUUUCACCCUCUCUCUCUCUCUCUCUCUCUCUCUCUCUCAUUGAGUUGAGUUUCUCUCUACCGGCCAUCCAGCAGCUCGCGUUUUGUCUACCGGCACAGCUACGCGCAGUCGCCGUUAGCGUCUAAGCUCGACGGACAUGCCUGAAAAGGCCCCAUCUUACAGGGAGGUUAAGCCACCGAUGCCGCGAAGGAUAACGGUAAAUAGUUAUGGUUCCAGUUAUGGUUAUGGUUACAGGGGGACAGGGCAAGGGCAGAGAAGAUGAGGAGAAAAAACGUAUCACGAAAAUGUGCCCGCACAAACACUGUGAAUGCUUAUGACAGCGACCAUAGUUUUUCACGCGCACACGCACACACACCUGUUGGGGCCAGGGUCCAAUAAUUCAGUUUUCUGCGAAGGGACGGUUCUCAAGCUUGUCGAGCGUGGGGUGGAGGACCACCGAAAAGCGGACAAUAAAUAUCACUGAAGGUGCGCAGUCAUCUCUUUGCACCCAUAAACUUCCCAUUCCGUACUUCUGCCCAUUAUGAUGAGGAGUGAGUAUAUAGGCAUUAGUGAAUACUAUACUCCAAGCCGUAGAGAACAGAUGAAAGUUAUAGCGCUCGUCGUGGUAAGCACUGUGGAAGGCGGAGCGUUAGAUGGGGAUCCAGUGAGCAAAGACGGUGAUUUGCGUUUUCUACAAACUUUACCAGAAGAAACUUUGACGCCGCGAUCAGUCCGACACCUCGGGAACAUUGGUCAGCAUAGAUGAUAGCGUAGUUUUCUCAAAUCCAGUACGGCAAGACCUUUUUUCCGAUAUGCAUAAUCAGUGCGAAUUGUAGCUCUUAUAGCGCAAUAUUUUGCUGAAAAUGAUCAAUUUGCAAAUUCACAAAGCCAAAAAGAUGAGUUUUGGGCCAAUCUAGCAUAUAUGCACUACUAAUCGUUCUCUUGCUGGCUGAACCGCCAUACGUGCAACUCCCGUAAGCAGAGAGUUUUAGCGUAUCCUGUAUUCCAGUAUACGCAACGGUAGUUCUAUCCUCUUCUCUAGGGGGCUGUUUCCGCGCUUGAUUAUCGGCAUGAACGGCAACUGUGAUUGAGAGAACUUAGUUUGCUUAGCAAGCGACGGCUUCGAUUGUGCCUUCGUUCGCUAAUUCGUUCGGUAUUGGCAAAGGUACAGGGUACAGGCACUGAAAAGCUUGCAGCUUGCGGCGUAGGACCUUGCAACGUGGCUAGCAUUGCCGCUUUGUACUUCAGUCUCUUUAAAGCCCUACACAGCGCAAAGGCGGUGCGUAUAUACGCUGGAAGCUUACUGCAUUCGGUUCAUUGCCCUUGGGAGAUAGACAGUUUUGAAGAAGCAUAGUAGCGCCAUCACGGGGAACCGAUUCGAAGUAUAGUCGUCCAAAGAAGUCGCGGCCAAUGGCAUUCGCGUUCCGAAAAUUUUUCUCAAUAAGCCUUCCCUGUGCAAUGCCAAGCAAACCUAUGACAGGGCACUAACGCCCAUUGGUAACAUAAUUUGGAAACAAGUUGCAGGCUCAGAAUUAUUCGCACAUUCACAUCACUUGAGCACAAACAUGCUUCAAAUUCUCAAAACAACACAGAUUACGUCGACAACAAAUUACGUGGAAAAAAUAACCAUAUAUACUCCAUUGUCUUUGAGAAUUACUUAAGAACACUCUCUGUUUGAUAAUAAAGCGAAGGAUGGGGUGGUGCUCGUAAACUGGAACUAAAAUAAUUUACACGGCAUUUUCGUGUUCAAACAGAGUCUGCUGGAGACCUGCUUUGGAAACAUUCAGCUUAAUUUAGCACUUAAAGUAUUGAUCGGGGUACCCUCCGUGACUACAUGUGUCACUGUACGACAUUUAGGAAGAGGAUUAUGGCUGAAUGUCCACAGGAGCAUUGCCCGGACAUCGAGUGCAUGACUGUCAUCCCUGAAUUGUGAUGCGAAAAAGUGUAGGAGUUCGCUCUCGUUCGGCUUGUGUCUUGCACACAAUCGUUUCAAGGACUCUACGCUACUCAGGUGCUGCGUCGCAGCACACGAUAGCCAUCGUGCUGGAUGGUGCAGCUAGUAUAAUUUAACCGUAACGAUGAAGCUUGCCGUCAAAUUGUCGUUAAGCUUGCAUGCCCCAUGCGUAUACUAAACAACAACCGGUCUUAUGAAAUCAGGUCGCAUUAGUGAAUAAUAAACAUGAUAUUCGCGAUGCUUCGUGCACCAUUUCAAUGCACGAGCGCUGAUCGUCUGACAGAAGCAGCAUAACUUGUAGAACACCAGUUGAUCGAAAUUUAAUCUAGAGCUCUUCAAUGCGGCGUUACUGGUAACCCAGGUAGUUCCGUAGGUAUAUUCAGCCGCAUCAGUCAAUCAGAGAAGCAGCAUAAGCCAAUUGUAAGCGUAAAACGCGUCGUCCAAAAUAUACGGAAAUGGUCGCGGAAGAUGGAAAGUCAUGGUACAUUCGCCUGGUUCCCACAAUGCUCUGGCUCGGUCGAGAUUAGCACCGGGUCGAGAUUCGAGUCCGAGAAAGCCCGCACGAGACAAAUGUGCAGGCUGCCGCCACAGCAAUCGAACCAGCCACCUGACCGGAAUCCUGUCGCACCUCCAUGUUCUAAGAAAUUGAGAGCACCUCUGAGCGCUCUGAGCGAGCAUGUUCGGAGCGCUCGAUUUCGACCAACCGAAUGCAAAGCGCACCACCGGAGUGAUCCACAGAGCUCUCGAAAAGCAACCAGCUGAAUUCCACCAUUAGCAAGAUCGAGCCCGAACUUCAAGACUUGUCUCCCCGUGACGACAAUUCCCUCUGUCGAAACGGUUGGCUCCGUACUGAGGCUUUCCAUGUCCGCCAAAUUGAACUAAAAUGCGUCACGUUGGAAGGCGUAAACUCGGGCAUGCUCAGAGAUGGACUUCUUUAAUAAAGGAGUAGCGUUUGCCUUUUGAGAGGGUGAGCGUGGCGGUGUUGCAGGUAAGCGGCAUGAAGUGUAGCGGGCAUAUUGCGCCAUGGUACCUGGCGCGGCGGCAUAUAUAGAGGCUGUGGUGUUGCGCUGCUAAGCACGAGGUCGCCGGAUCUAUUGCCGGCCGAGGCGGCUGUGUUUCGACGGGGGCGAAACGCAAGAACGCUCGUGUCCUGUGGAUUGGGGGCACGUUAAAGGAUCCUCCGGUGACCAAGAUUAAUCCGGAGUCCCCCAUGCACUAUACGGCGUGCCUCUUAAGCAAAUCGGGGCUUUGGCACGUAUAAAACUACAAAAAGGGAGGAACGACGCAGCUGUUGCGCGGAAUACAUGCGCAUAGAUCGAGAACACUGGGUAUGUAAAUUGGUAAUUGGUAAGGACACUAUUCUGAAGUUGCAUAGGUCGAGAUUUGUCGCAUACCCCUGUCGGCAGUGUUCUCCAGGAAAGACGCAUUCAUUUUCUUUAGAAAAAAAAAUAUCCGCCGGUCUUUCUAUAGCAGACCUCUGCGUUGACACAUUAUCUCGUGGAGCGAGAAAAUUUCCUAUAUUGGAACGACGCUCAUCAAGGCUAUAUAUUGCGGGCCUCAAAACACACCUUUGCUUCUCGAACUUAGUACAGCUUAUGAGAACACAUGGCUUGAAUAACCGUUCCAGAAGCUUACCCAGCGUGUGCUUAAAUUCAUGAAGUAAGAAACCUCUAAAAACGUGCAAAGACUUGUGAAACGCUUAAUACUAUGAGCAAAGAACCUCAGUCACUUGUUUUUAUGUCCUGUGAGCCUCUUUGUUUUUUUCAAUAGGAACAACCUCGGUCGGCCACCGUUUGAAGACGUAAAGUUACACGGCCUGUUCUGUGAGGCUGGCGUAAAGGUAGGUACGCUUCCAUGGAGGUCUCGAUGAAGAAGCACCGAGAUCUGCGCAGCCACCGGACAUCUUCGUUGCUCAGAAAAGCGACAGCGGCAGCGGCCCUGUUCCCCACUCCCUGAGACCCUUACUUGUGAUGCGUUCUGCGCCGCCUUCCCAGGUUAGGUUCUCAGGCCCUGGGUAACAGUUUGGAGAACGCAGCGGUCGUCACGUUCAACCUGCAGUAGACAAAGCACAAUGUUCUCGUGUCGACGCUGUUCGCUGCAUGUUAUAGCGAUCUGCCUGUAUACACUUUAGGUUUAGAUCUGUCUGUAUGCACUUUCGGUUUAGAUCUGUCUGUAUGCACUUUAGGUAUAGAUAGUUUCGCACAGCAGCGUGUAUGUCUAAAGCACGCAUUCGAGUUACUGCUUUCCCGUAUGCCCUGUAUUUGAGAAAUUUUGGAGGGCUUGAAGCAGUUGUCACGCCUCUGUCCGAGCUAAGCCAAGUGGGUAUAGAGUAUGAAUACUGUUUUAUGUAGGUCAGAGUUGGCAUGGAAAGUCGUAAGGAGGUAGUAAGGGAUGGGCAACGAAAUUGCUAUUUUGUCUAUGUGAUGAUUCUUUUCGUACAAGCCAGAUCACGCCAGAGCCUCCGGACUCGGUGGCACAGAAUCCAUGCAACUGUUCGGAACGUGCCAAUCAGUUCAGAGGACUUGGCUAAGAUCAACUCGGGCUCCCUUGGGCAGCGCAGAGAUCACGCAACGAUAGGCAGCGAAACGGUGUGGGGUUCUUCUACAAGAGCAUAAGUAUAAUUUCAGUGAUUACUCUAGUUUCGAAUAAUUGGCCUAGAAGCUGCUGGACAGUGACGUACGUAUCCUUGCGGUAUCAGCUGCGAUAUUUCUGCUAAUUAGCAUCUCAACAAGUUGGCGCUGAUCUAGGCGACGACAUUGCGACAUAGCCCAACACACUGAGUAGGCAAAUCUGAUGUUGAAUGUAGUCCGUCGUUGAGUAAACGAUUUGUUGCACUGUGGUGAAGACAGCAUCGCCAGCACAUGCAAAAAAAAAAAAAAAUUCAUUCACAGGGUAGAAGGCGUAUAGCAGUUGUUCUAAACUAUAGUGUUUGUUACUGGAGUCGCUUGAACCCUCCAGCCUCGCAUGACCAGCUGGUUAACUUAAGGCUAACUCACACUAGGCCGACUUGACACCGAUUUCGGUGCGCCGACUGUCGGCAGACGCAAAUAGGUGUCGGAUCGGCCUAGUGUGUGUGAGCCUUCAGGUAUAAUUCUGAAAAUCUGUAAAUUGACUCACGUGCUGCGGUCGACAAUGAAUUCAUAUCUUCCGAGUCGAUAGUGCUUAAACAGCUGUUUCCGAUGCCGUAUUUCUGCGCGUGCCUUCAUCUGUAGAUUUCUCGUCAGUAUAGUUAUCUCUCCCAACCUAAUGUUUAUCGCAUAUCAUAAGGCAUGUGCGUUCAGUGACCGUGACCGUGCAAAUUCGUUAACUAUUUGUCUGUUCCUCUCUGUUUAUGUUCGUGUCUGAUUCUCCACGUUGAAUAAAGAAGCAUUGUUGGUUUUUCGGCAUGCGAAUUCUUAACCGCUUUUCAAGCAGUUGAUUUGUUUGUGAAGACUUGAUUCGAGUUUGCUUCUGUGUACAACGCGGUGGGCAUAGGUCAAAUAGUUGGUGCGUUCACGCAAAAACGAGUGUAUGUUUCGUGUUUCAUUUUUUCUUUUUUCGAAUAAAAAGUGUUGCGUUAUA